Molecule: long non-coding RNA, 3199 nt
Organism: Cucumis melo (muskmelon)
Lineage: Eukaryota; Viridiplantae; Streptophyta; Magnoliopsida; Cucurbitales; Cucurbitaceae
Exons: 5
Source: RefSeq, a predicted model, not a curated record
AUUACCAAUUUAGCCCACCUUUCAUUUUCCCCUUACCCAAGUUGACACUCCCAUCUUUCGUCUUCUUACUCUUCUCCGGUUUUCCAUUUUCCAUCUUUCGUCCAUACAUACGCAACUCCAUGUCUAAAUCUUUCUCUCUCACCAUUCUUCUCCUUUAUCAUUCCAUUUGAGCAAUUCCGCUGUCUGAGAUCAUUAGUUUUUGGAGUAACUCUAAAUUUUGUGAGUCCUCUGUGGCUUGUGGUGGCAGCCACCCUUUCUUCGCCUUCCCCUUCUCUCGGUAGCUUUUUCUACGAGGAAGAGGAAUCGAAAGAUUCAAGCAAUCAUGGGCAUCAACGGAUUAGAGCUUAUGAUUCCACCAUUCUUUGCGGGUACAGGAGUAAGAGUAGCAAAUGAGCUGGGAGGCGGCAAUGGAAAAGGAGCCAAGUUUGCAGCCAUUGUGUCAUCAACAACAUCAUUAGUAAUUGGCAUUCUCUUUUGUUGUUUAAUUGUAAUAUCUAACGACAAAUUUGGUCUUCUUUUUUCCUCUACCGACAUUGUUAUUCAAGAAGUCAAUAAACUUAGUAUCCUCUUGGCCUUCACUAUCCUCUUCAACAAUGUCCAGCCAGUCCUCUCCGGUAUGACAAUUUUACUAUAAUGUACUAAUUUGUAUUUCAAAAUUAACUAUCUUUUCAUAAAUAUUUAAUUUGCUGUGAUCUAAAUAUAUAGGAGCGGCGGUUGGAACAGGUUGGCAGUCUUAUUUAACUUGUAUAAAUUUGGGUUGCUAUUAUUUCAUUGGUUUGCCUCUUGGCAUUUUCUGAGACUGAGACUAAUUAGUUUUAGCAAUUCACCAUUUGAGAUGCAAAAUUUCACUCUCAUUCCUCACUGUUCUUUUUCAUUCCAUAGCAUAUCAAUCAAUACAAUGGAUGAAGCAAGUAUUCUUUUUAUAUGCACUGCCAGUAUUCUUUUUCAUCUCAAAAGAGUGACUUAGUAAAGAGUUAUUUUAAACAUUAUCGCUUAACUUAACUUCCAAAGUUUUCUUUUCUACUUAAAGUUCUAUUAAGAUCCUUUCUAGCUCUUUCUCAACGUCUUGGAUUAGUUUAUAAUCCACGAGAAUUCCCUCUUUGUAGUUUGAGACUGAUUAAAAGUGUUUGAAUUGAGUUUUAAGGCUAUUUUUGCAGGCACGACCAUACUCGACCAAGAUUUGUUCUAUAAGUUUAGGGUACUAAGGCUAAUGCUAUUUUGAAGGAUUCUGAAAGUGAGAACAAAAAGAAUGCUCGUGAUUAUUCUGACUAGGUGUGAAAAUGAUUCCCUCCCAAGUAUUAGUUGGGUCUUGGAUCUUGCAAAAGCAGCAGUUUUAAGGCAUGGAGUUUGAUUGGUAAUUGACCCUUAUAGUGAGCUUGACCAUCAACGGCUUCCAAAUCAGUUUUGUUGAUGGUUUGGAGAUGGGAAAUAACACAAAGGUACAAAAUUAGUUCUAAAUAAAUUUAAAAGGUAACUUACAUAGUUACAACAAGGUUGGUUAGGAACCCAAAAGCUUUGAUGUUGGAUGAGAUUAUCAACUAUGUGCAGUCAUUACAACACCAAGUUGAGGUAAUUAUAUUUUAGAAUAAAAUUAGGAAAAAAAAUGUGGUCCACAUUGCCGUUUCAAAUUAUAUUUUGGCCUUUUAAGACAUGGCUAGAAAAAUAGAUCGCCAACCUGACAUAAAACUUAGACGUGAGAAGUAGAUAACAAAGUAAGAAAUUCAUUGCUGGGAAAUGGUGUUUAUAGGCUUAAUUUUCAAAAUCUAAAAAUACACAAAUCAUUAAAGGACCUUUGGUUUUACUAUUUUUUUCCUUGGAACAAAAAUGCACUACCUAUAUGCAGCUAUGCGAAUAUUGGCGUGUUUAAAAUGUAGUGGCAUGCACAGAAGCCUUGGAACACAUAUAUCAAAGGUAAUGCUCACCUUUCCGAAGAUGAAGAUUAUGGUUUGCAUUUCUUUAAAUGUGUCACCGGAAUAAAAGUUAUUUUUUUAUUUAAUUUUCUAGUUAUGCUAAAGCUAAGGUUGGUCAAUGAUGUUGUUUGAAUAUUCCUAAAGAAAGAGAACGCUAGAAGGUUUUACUUCCUUUCUCGUAUUAGAAAACUAUGCUUGAACUUAGAGCAACCUUUUUGAUUAUGUGCUGUGAGGGCUAAAUAAAAGUUGUAGUUCUAAGGACAUUGUUGGUUUUGGUUUAGGUUUUGUCAAUAACAUUGGAUGAAUGGUCUGACGAUGAGAUUGAUGCAAUGAAUGAUAGAUUUUUUCCAUAAUUAUCUUAAGCUUUAUAUUUUUAAUAUAGCUUCGUUUUUACUCUGGUCAUAUAUUCUAGUUUGGUAUUCGAUUGAAUUGAAGAAUUGGUAUUGAUUUUUUGUUCUUUAGAUAGUUUAGUUUUGAUCUAAUAUUGAGUGGUUAAAUUCAAAUAGAAAGUGUAUAAUUCAAAAAUACUAUACGUGUGGCAUAGAACACUAGCAUACAGCAAAUUCACUAUUAUUUUUAAUAGUGUUAUUGACUUAUCAACGUACUGGCAAUUAAUGUGAAACCUUUGAGUUUCUUGUUGUUUAGGAUACUAGUCGAGUCAUCCAUGGAUUGGAUUGUCGGUUGCUUGUUCUGAAUCCUGGCUUGACGUUAUGAUUUUGUUUUUGUUUAUCAUUUAUAUGCGGCUUGAUAGUGAAAACUAAUGGAAUCCUUGGCUUGAUGGUGAAAACUAAUGGAAUCCUUGACUCACGGAUGUAGUUGAAAUCUCUCCUAUAGACAUGUUUUGCUUGAUUGUAGUUGAAAUCUCCUAUGAACAAGAGUCCCCAAGGGGAUUCAUUACUCAACACCCUAUGAACAAUAUAUUAUUUAUAGAUAAAACACCCAUAACAACAAAAUUAUUCACAAUCUUAAUCGAACUUAUGAAAUUCUAUCUAACAUAAUAAAUGUAUAAAACUGUGAUUCUCAGAAAGGAGGUGGAGAUUCCAGACAAUUACCCAAAAUUUCCAACUUAGAGGAGAGUUUGGGUGGAAGAUUUACUGAGAUUAACGGGCGAAAGGUUGAAGAAAAUGUUGGAGGAGAUGGAAGAAGAGGAAUUCUGCAUCAUUACAAAAUGUAUAAUAUUAAAUUAAUAAAAAUUGUCAACUCACCGUUUAAUAUCCACAUCAUUUUACUGUUAGUUAAGUAACCUUAAGGAUCAUUCGUUUUCGAGGACUCAAGUGUUCGUUUUGAAA